UAUUAUUUACUUGAUCUUGAUAUCCUACGUGGAUAACUGUGGUAAUUCUAGAGCUAAUACAUGCACCAAAGCUCCGAUUUUUGACGAGCGCAUCUAUUAGAUUAAAACCAAUCGGAUUUCGGUCCGUCAUUUGGUGACUCUGAAUAGCUAUGGCUGAUCGCAUGGUCUUGUACCGGCGACGUAUCUAUCAAGUGUCUGCCUUAUCAACUUUCGAUGGUAGUUUAUGUGCCUACCAUGGUUGUUACGGGUAACGGAGAAUAAGGGUUCGACUCCGGAGAGGGAGCCUGAGAAACGGCUACCACAUCCAAGGAAGGCAGCAGGCGCGCAAAUUACCCACUCUCGGCAUGAGGAGGUAGUGACGAAAAAUAACGAGACCGUUCUCUAUGAGGCCGGUUAUCGGAAUGGGUACAAUUUAAACCCGUUAACGAGGAUCUAUGAGAGGGCAAGUCUGGUGCCAGCAGCCGCGGUAAUUCCAGCUCUCAAAGUGUAUAUCGUCAUUGCUGCGGUUAAAAAGCUCGUAGUUGGAUCUGCGCCUCAGGACUCGGUCCGCCCACUGGGUGAGAACUGGGCUCCUAGGCUAAUACUGCUGGUUUUCCCUAUGUUGCCUUCAUCGGUCGCGUAGGGUGGCUAGCGAGUUUACUUUGAAAAAAUUAGAGUGCUUCACGCGGGCUAUUGUCUGAAUACUCGUGCAUGGAAUAAUAGAAUAGGAUCUCGGCUCUAUUUUGUUGGUUUUCUGAUCUGAGAUAAUGGUUAAGAGGGACGGACGGGGGCAUUCGUAUCGCUGCGUGAGAGGUGAAAUUCUUGGACCGUAGCGAGACGUCCGACUGCGAAAGCAUUUGCCAAGAAUGUCUUCAUUAAUCAAGAACGAAAGUCAGAGGUUCGAA
Molecule: ribosomal RNA, 884 nt
Filed under: Cosmocerca sp. s YL-2022
Lineage: Eukaryota; Metazoa; Nematoda; Chromadorea; Rhabditida; Cosmocercidae
Description: SSU rRNA
Rfam family: Eukaryotic small subunit ribosomal RNA
Source: RNAcentral